GUGUGUUUUGCAGCUAAUGAUGCUGGUGGAAUCCCUGUGCCAUCUCUCCAGGUACUCUCCAGGCUCCAGCCAUGCUCCUAAACACUUCCAGAGCUCAGGAAGGGGAAGUUGUCCUGGCUCAGUGUGUCCUUCAGAAGAUAAUACCUGCUGCCCGAAUUGUCUUCUGCAAGGAUGGAAUGGAGGUUUACAGCAUGAAAGCCCAACAGCAUACCGUCAUCUACUCCAUGCUGCUGAACAUCUCUGCAAGAAGCAGUGGGACAUACACGUGUGCGUACCAGCAGAGGAACAAGAGCAAUUGGCUAAGGAGAUCUCCCCUCAGCACUCCCUUGGAUCUACAUGUCACAGGUGGGACUUGACACCAGGGUUGUGCGGACGCAGGGGAUGGGGGGACUAAACAUCACAUAGAUUUUCUGGAUCAAGAAAUGCCAUAGAGAGAAGUGGGCUCUGGAAUGGUCUCCCUCUCCAUCCCGUGCUGCAGAAAUGGGGCACUGCAGUGCCCAGGCUCAGGAAGCAGGUGCAGGGUUUGGGCACGAUCCCUUUCCUGGGAAGUGAUGCUGCAGGGGUUAUUCAAAAAAUGUUUUGAGAAUAAGGAGUGGAAACUCGGGUGAUUUCCAAGUGUGAGGUAGUUUCUCACUGUGUGAGUUCCUAUGCAGCAAGAAGGCGAUGCUGUGGCCAUAGUGUGGGGAUGGCCAGAUGUUGGUGUGCUUUGGGAUCCGGGUGCCUCCACCUGCAACAAAACCACCUAAAAGAGGCUUUAGAUGGUGGCAGGAGGGGAAAUGCAUUAUGGAGUCUUGCAAGUGGGAUGCUGUCAUCCCAUCCCAUAGAGGCAGAGCAACAUACUAGUCCUUUCUUAUCCACAAGGUCAAGGAAAGGAGAGAGUUGUGCUGCAGGAUCAUACGGUGCACAGUUGCAUUUCUGCCAUGCAUUUCUUAAUUCAUCAUAGUUUAGAUAUUUGAUCAUCAGAAUGGCAGAAACCCCAUGUCAGCCCACGUGUCUCAGGGGACAGAGCUGGCUCUGUGGGCAUCUUCCAAGGUCUACAUACCCUGCCCCGAACCAGUGCACUCAGGAGCUGUGUCCAUGCAGAGCUAUGAGCACUGGUGACACUCCGCCCAUCCAUAUGUCUGUCCAGGUCAUGUGUCCGAUUCCUCAGCAGGAACCAUAACUGCAGGUGAGGGACUCUCCUUUGCUCCUACUGACCCCAUCCCUUCA
This 1209-nucleotide long non-coding RNA is filed under the name Gallus gallus (chicken). RNAcentral describes it as "lncRNA (ENSGALG00010005993.1)". The record is from RNAcentral. Lineage: Eukaryota; Metazoa; Chordata; Aves; Galliformes; Phasianidae.